Molecule: transfer RNA, 76 nt
Filed under: Clostridium sp.
Lineage: Bacteria; Bacillati; Bacillota; Clostridia; Eubacteriales; Clostridiaceae
Also listed under: 9 other names
Description: tRNA-Lys
Rfam family: tRNA
About the family: Transfer RNA (tRNA) molecules are approximately 80 nucleotides in length. Their secondary structure includes four short double-helical elements and three loops (D, anti-codon, and T loops). Further hydrogen bonds mediate the characteristic L-shaped molecular structure. tRNAs have two regions of fundamental functional importance: the anti-codon, which is responsible for specific mRNA codon recognition, and the 3' end, to which the tRNAs corresponding amino acid is attached (by aminoacyl-tRNA synthetases). tRNAs cope with the degeneracy of the genetic code in two manners: having more than one tRNA (with a specific anti-codon) for a particular amino acid; and 'wobble' base-pairing, i.e. permitting non-standard base-pairing at the 3rd anti-codon position.
Source: RNAcentral
GAGCCAUUAGCUCAGUCGGUAGAGCACCUGACUUUUAAUCAGGGUGUCGAUGGUUCGAGUCCAUCAUGGCUCACCA